Molecule: long non-coding RNA, 3177 nt
Filed under: Helianthus annuus (common sunflower)
Lineage: Eukaryota; Viridiplantae; Streptophyta; Magnoliopsida; Asterales; Asteraceae
Description: hypothetical non coding rna
Source: RNAcentral
AGUUAUUGGAUAUGUUUUGGAUUUUUUAUUCAUGAAGCAUUGAAUUAUUUUUUGGAUACCGUUUAUAAUAAUUCAUGAAAGUCGGUUUCGGUAAUAUUUUGGUUCGGUACUAGUUUUUUUUUUUUUGGGUCCGACCCUAAAUACGCUCAAGUUUCAUUUUAAUUUCAGUUUUUGUUUAGCUCUUAUACUUUUGAUAUUAAACUUUAAUCUUUUCUUACAAUACUUUUCACUUGGACAUUUAAUCGAACAUUUGGUGUGCAAACAUUUCGACAUCAUAUAUUACACUAACCAUUAUAAUCAAGCAUAACCCAUCAAGUUCAUAAUAAUCAUACACUACCUAUUAAUCAAGAAACCUAACCAAAUUUAUACACAACACAAAGAAUCGAAAACAAUUAAACAUUCUUGAUUCACAUGACGUACCUUUAUUUCUAACAUCCAAUGUGAAGCCGCAUUUUAGAGUGGAAUGUCAAUGGAGCACAUCUUGAUUCACUGCAGAAAUCUAGCCACAGCUGAUCGAAUGAAACAUUAAUGAUGUGAUUGUAGGUUUGAGAAACAGAGAAAGAUAUAAACAUCAAUUCAGGUUCGGGUAUCAGUUUAUACUGUUUUCGGGUAUCGGGUCGGUUCGGUUCCUAAUCGGGUCGGUUCUUGGCAUUUGCUCACCACUUUAGAGCAUUCACAUCCAUUCCAUUAAAUUCUUUGUGUGGAGUUUUUAUAAUAUAAAGAGUAUAAAGAGUGGUUGUGAGUGGAGGAGAGAGAAAAUGUUACUAAAAGGUAAUGAUAAAGGUAUAAAUAAAUAUUAUAUAAUUGAAAAGGAGGGAGAAAAUGUAGUGUUUUUUUAGUGUAAUUUAGGGUGAAAAUAUGAUGGAAUGGAUGUGAAUGCUCUUAAGCAAGGCUAAAGUGAGUCUCCUGCGCUAAGCAGGAGUAGGUCUUUGGUCAGUGUGCCCACAAAGUAAGGGAGGUUAAGACUUUUCUUACAUAGACGCAAGUUUCACUUCAAGCUAAUGCAUAAUUAAGAGAGACUUUCACUAUGCUAAAGUGCAGUGGGCUAGCUUUAGUUUGCCUGUUCUGGUAUCUUGAGCUCCCUUAAUAACUUUCUUUAUAUUAAUUCAGUGAAAUGAAGGUUGUUAAGAGGAGUUUUGUAACUCCAAAAUCAAAAUUCCCUGUCCCCUUUUCUUUGUAUAUAAUAUGUUUAUCAAUCCAAUGACCUCGUUAUCAACACAACCGACACUGAGGUGAGCGGGGAGGACCAACGGCCAGGGCACAUUAAAAAAAUAUUAUAUAUAUUUUAAAAAAAUAGAAAACCCAUAUAAAACAUAAACUUAUAUUUUAGGCUCAUUUAAAACUAUGGAUCUCAAAAUUUAUAACUUAAGCUCGUUAGGUAUUAGCCCAAUGCCCAUUUUGGCUUUAAAUUAAUAAGAAUCAUAAUAAUAACAUCAACGUGUGGCAAAAUAAGUUUACAUUAUCUAUUUCGUUACGGUGAGGGGCACGUAUUUUCCGGGCUUAGACAGCCUGAAUUCUCAGGUUCGGCCCCUGGUUAUCAGUUUGAACUUGAAAAGUUUUUAUUACAGAGGAGGUAAAAGGGGAAAAAACACGAAACCUAGUUAGAGCACAAAACAAAAACCAAAUUGAAACCAAUCGAGUUCCCACCUGCCACAACGUGCGGGAUUAAUCACACUUGUGUAAAUAAAAUGACCACUCAUGUUACAGGUUUUGAAAACAAGGGGGUAUUUCUGUAAGUUUUAAAAUGGGAGAAUAAAAAUUGUACCUUUGACAAAACCAUAAGAACAAAUCGUGAACUUUACACUAAUUAGAAGAAAAAUGGUAUAAUAUGAGCUAACUCUUACCUUUUCACAGUUCCAACCACAAUUUGCACAUUGGCUUGGAAUUAUUGGAGUAUAACUUGCAAAUUCGUUUGUAGAAAACUAGUUGAGUGUUCGUUGUUUUGUUGUACUCUGUUUGUUUCUUGAUGCUUUGUAUUUAUCUCUGCAAAUUUUAACAUAAAAGGUAUUAAACAAACUGAAAUCCGAUUAAUAAAAUUGGCAACCAGUUAGGGAAUGUAUGCUAAAGCAUUCAAAGCCAAAACCAUAUGAAUUCAUAAAACGUGUUAAAAGUCAAAUUAAUAAGAACAAGAAUUAACAAAUGAAUUUAACACAAACUAAAUUUCUGAUUACUGAAUGAUGUUAGACAAUCGUUCCCUACUUGUUAGUGAACCGGCGUGAAACGAUGGACGCAGCGAUUGAGAUAUGCUGAUUUACUUAAAUGACACCCUAAACCCCUUACAUAAUAAACUAUAGACCUUAAACACACUUUACAAUGAUAGCGCUUAUACCUGUGCCUGGCAAAAUGAACGGGUCAGAUUGGGUGUAGUGAAGGAUCAAAACGGGUUCGGGUCAGAAUGGGUGCGGGUCAGAACGGGUCAUGUUAAGGAAAGGGUCAUUUCGGUUCGGGUCAGAACAGGUCAUUUUACAGACUGAUGUCUGCACCCUGCAGUAAUAGAAUCUUUAUUCUCUACGGUUUUGCUUUCUUCACUAAAAUAGAAAUUGAAACAGAUGUUGAAUAGAAAUUCAUUUUAAUUGAAAAAUUAAAAUUCAGUUAAACUAAAAGAAAGCAAAUAAACACAAAUCAAAUAUUAAAAAAUACUAAUUGAGAAAAGAACAACCAACGAUCGUUUCUUCCAGCAAAGCAGCGACGAUUCAUAAUUCAUGCGGUUUCAAUUCAGUAAUCUCUCCACCUGAUCUCUCGCAUAUGUCAACCCGUUUGGGUUCGUAACUGUCAGCCAUUGAGUGAUCAUUUACACACUCACCGGUUACACCAUCGAUCCAUUACGUUACAACCUCCGCAUAACAUCGAAACACCGUCGUUUAAUAUGUUACCAACUUUAUGGUGGUCGGCGUCACCAGUUUACCGGAAGAAAGAAACACCGUCGUUUGCUAUGUCACCAACUUAAUGGUGGUCGGCGUCGCUAGUUUACCGAAACACAGAGAUAGUGCGUAAAGGAGACAAGAGUAGAGGAGAAUCUGUAAGCUUCUAAUAUGGUGGUAUGGUGAGAUUUUUCUAAGAACCAAUUUUGUGUGAGAGUGACGAUCUCAGAUUUAGAGAGAAGAAAAAGAAAAACUUAUGAGAAAAAACACUAGAAUUCUUCUAACCAGUUCCACCCGUUUCUUUUUUCUUCCGAAC